ACGAACGCUGGCGGUGUGCUUAACACAUGCAAGUCGAACGGAAAGGCCCUGCUUUUGUGGGGUGCUCGAGUGGCGAACGGGUGAGUAACACGUGAGUCACCUGCCCUUGACUUUGGGAUAACUUCAGGAAACUGGGGCUAAUACCGGAUAGGAGCUGCUGCUGCAUGGUGGGGGUUGGAAAGUUUCGGCGGUUGGGGAUGGACUCGCGGCUUAUCAGCUUGUUGGUGGGGUAGUGGCUUACCAAGGCUUUGACGGGUAGCCGGCCUGAGAGGGUGACCGGCCACAAUGGGACUGAGAUACGGACCAGACUCCUACGGGAGGCAGCAGUGGGGAAUAUUGCACAAUGGGCGGAAGCCUGAUGCAGCAACGCCGCGUGCGGGAUGACGGCCUUCGGGUUGUAAACCGCUUUCGCCUGUGACGAAGCGUGAGUGACGGUAAUGGGUAAAGAAGCACCGGCUAACUACGUG
RNAcentral lists this ribosomal RNA (467 nucleotides) under uncultured bacterium. RNAcentral's name for it is "partial 16S ribosomal RNA". It matches the Rfam family "Bacterial small subunit ribosomal RNA", at positions 29 to 507 of the family's 1533-position model. The record is from RNAcentral.